This 206-nucleotide long non-coding RNA is filed under the name Brachypodium distachyon (stiff brome). RNAcentral describes it as "long non-coding RNA (BDIS_LNC001326)". The record is from RNAcentral. Lineage: Eukaryota; Viridiplantae; Streptophyta; Magnoliopsida; Poales; Poaceae.
ACGAACAGCCGAGUUCCUCGUCGCAGCGCCGCCAUAGGUAAAGUCUGAACAAUUUGUCGCCGUAUAUCUUCGUCUCUUCUUCUUUUGAUCUUGUUUUUGGUGUUGAAUUUGUUCGACUCGAACCCCUUGAUGAGUCGAUCCCUCAGAUUUCUCCACGGGGCUCGAAUUUUCCGAAGGGGCGAGACUGUUCGGGGAUCUUGAGUCGC